This is a long non-coding RNA of Felis catus (domestic cat), 6196 nucleotides long. RefSeq lists it as uncharacterized. The transcript has 3 exons. Lineage: Eukaryota; Metazoa; Chordata; Mammalia; Carnivora; Felidae. The record is from RefSeq and is a predicted model, not a curated record.
CAGUGCGGGAUCUAGGAGGCCCCCAAACCGCCCGCUCUUUUCUGUGGCUGCUCAGGCCCGCCGAGCCUCUUCUGCGGCUGCGCAGGCUCCGCCCGGGUCCUUCGGCGCCUGCGUGGUCCGAGAGCCUGAUCCUGAGAUGCAGAAACUAAUUUCAACUCCAGUUUGCUGCUACCCCGCCCCCCACCGCCCAUGCAUGUCAUCGAACUGGUAGAAAACCCGGCAGAUGCCAUCUCAACUGAAUGAUCACGAUGAGUAAUAUGGUAAGUCACGUUAUCCUGCACGGGGCUUCGCCCCUGUGGUAUUUUCCCCUCAAACCCGUAAGCCCUGUCUAAUCAGGAGAAAACAACAGAUAAGCCCAAAAUGAGAGACAGUCUACAAAAUACCUGACCAGUACUCCUCAAAACUGCCAAGAUCGUGAAAAGCAAGGACAAACUAAGAAACUGUCACAGAGUGGACCAGGUUCAGGGCACAUGGUUAGGAAAUGCAAUCCUGGCUUGGAUCUUGGAGGAGAAAAAGGACGUUAGUGAGAAAACUGGAGAAGUCUGACUAGAAUUUAUAGUUUGGUUAGUAACAUUGUACCCAUGUUAAUUUUGUGUUUUUGACAGUUGUACCGUGGUUAUAUAAGAUGGUAACAUUAGGGAGACUGGAUGAAGAGUCUGCAGGAAGUCUGGCAUAGUGCUGGAGAUUGGGAUGGUCCUGCAAAGGAGGAUUGACUCUAAAGGGCACAAGGGAAUUUUUUAGAGUGAUAGGAAUGUUAUAUAUUUUGAUUGUGGUGGUGGUUAUAUAGACAUACACAUCUGUCAAAACUCAUCAAACUGUACAUUUAAAAUAAUUUUUUUGCUUGUAAAUUAUACCUCGAGGAAGUAGGGUUUUUUUAAUUUUUAAAAUCUAAAUUUUAAUUUUAAAUUUAAAAAAAUUCAAAUCCAUUUUUAAGUUACGGCCAUACAUUAAAGCCUUCAAUGGCUUCCCAUGACACAUAAAACCCCAAAUCCUAACUUGGCCUACAGAGCUCUGGUGUCUGUGAACCACCCCACCACACCAAGUGUGGUCUCACCUCAGGACAUUUGCACUUACAGCCCCCUCCACCUGGAGUGCUCUGCCCCCAGAUCUUGUCAAGCCUGGCUCCCAGGUGUCAAUAAAAUCUCAGCUCAAUGGACCCCUCCUCAGAGAAGCCUACCCGGAGCUCCUGGGGCUCUCUCUCUCUCUCUCUCUCUCUCAUUACCCUGCUUUGUCAUCCCCAUCCCUAUAGCAUUGGCCUACAUAACUUCUUCCCACUGAAAAAAUUCAAAAUAGAUUGUAUGGUUUUGCACCAAGAAGCACUGAGAAGCGGCGCCUCCUUCUUUUUCUCGUUUUUACACCAUGACACUCACAAAGACCAUGACUGAGAUGUUGGGCAUGCGUGAUUCUGAAUACGAUUCUGGGUGGGCCUGAGACUCCCGAAGAGAAGGGAAGCCAUGAGGAAAUGAUUCCCAUUUCCACACAUGAGGACCAGGACAUAUGAGGACUUCAUAACACAAUAAAGCAAUGCUCUGCCUCACAUCCUUAGUUAUUUAAAGACCGAUUCAAUAAGUUGCAUUUAGAGACUCUUUAGGGAAAUAAAGAAGAGAUUUGGUCUAGCAGGAUUCAAAUGCAGUCGGUAAGCCCAGCACCCAAGGAGCAGAGGAACAGCUCCUGGCCCAGCCCGCCCCACCUGGGCACAGAUCAAAGCUGAUAGCUGGAGUCUGUUCCAGUUUCCAAGGAGUGUGCUCUUUAUAGCCCCCUGGAGCCAUACCUGGGUGUGGGCAGCAUCAGACGCUGGCUGAAGCUUGACUCAGCUUCUGUAAUUACCUAUUUUGGUGGGAAGCCAACGGCUGGGGCACCUGCUCUAGAAGCUGGAGUUUUUCUAUGUUGGUAUGAAUCCCUAGACCUGACAGCACAGUGCAGCCCUGCAAAUCUGAGCACCAUAUCUUCAGGUGGCAGAGCCGGCUAAAGAAAUUCCAAGUCCCAAUUCUACAGUCGUGGCAUUUCCCAGUCGGAAAGGGCAGAGAGAUCACCAGCCCCAGCUUCUGACCAUCCAGCCCCUAUUUGAAUACUUCCCAUGAUUGAGAUGCCCACAGCUCACAUGGAGGCCAUUACUUUUAAACACGACUCUCAGAAAUCUCUCACUGACAUUAUGUGCAUAAAUAUUUUUAUAUGUUAUACAUAUAUAUCUUUUAUAUAAACUUACAUAAAUAGUCUCUUACUCAUUAUAUUAGACUGACCUACGUAUCAGUCUCUCUGUAGAAACAGACAGAUUGACUACAUGACCUUUGGGGUAUUUGAAGAUGUAUCAUCUUCCCUCCGUGGCUUCUUUAUGCCAAACACCCCCAGGUGGACCCUUCAAGGGUUCCUUGGGGUGUGUGUGUUGGGGAUGGGCGUGGAAUUCCUAGUUCCCAUACCCACCAGGGCACACUUUACCAUGACUCCGUGCUUGAGGAGACUGCAGACGUAAUAUAUUUUGAGCCCUACCCGCUCCCCACCCCCCCCACCACACACACACACAGAAGUCCUUUCCCUCACUUGUGGAAUUUUCCAGCAGUGACACCAGGGAAACAAAGAUCAGGGCUAUUGUUUGAAAAAUAGACAAAAGCAAACUGGCCAAGGUACAAAGGCUUGACGGGACACAGAGUCAUGCUCAGCCAGGAUUGUGAGAAACUUAACCAAGAGACUAUUAACAGAGGUGUGGGCAGGACUUAGGAAACCAACACGGGAUAAGGAGGCAGCCAUGACUACCUGUCAUGGGCUGAAUUGUGUCCCCCGACCACCACCAAAAAAAAAAAAAAAAAAAGGUAUGUUGGAGACCUAACCCUCAGGACCUCAUAAUGUGACCUUAUUUGGAGAGGGUCUUUGCAGAGAUAAUCAAGUUAAGAGAGGUGGUUAUAGUAUCAUAAUCUGUAUGACUGGUGUCCUUAUAAAAGGGGGAAAUUUGGAUACAGACACACACACACAGAGAAAGCCAUGUAAAGAGAUGAAGGCAGAGAUCAGGGUGAUGCUUCUAUAAGCCAAGGAGUACCGAAGAUGGCCAGCGCACUCCCAAGAAGCCAGGGGAACCCCUCUCAUGGCCCUCAGAAGGAACCAGUCCUACAGAGACCUUGGUGUCAGACUUCUAGCCUCCAGAACUGUAAGAGAAUAAAUUUGCUAUUUAAGCCACCAGUCUAUGGUGCAUUGCUAUGGCAACGCUGGGAAACUAACACACCACCCCUAACCUUCUCCAGAGAAGAGAGCUGCGUCCCAGGAGCACCUGGCUGGAGCUGCAUUCACAGAGGUGGCAGAGCCAGGAGGAAUGAAGAGCCUCACCACUCUCUCCUCCUACCCUCCAGCCCCCUGCGUGGCCUAAGCCAGUGGAAGCCCGCAGGCAAGGGAGGUGGGAGAAAGUGCCUGGAGGGGCUCACUGUCCACACCUCUUACACCUAUCUGGGUAUCCCCUCCGCAGAUACAGCAGGAAGGGAAGUCAGGAGAGCCUGAUCCAACACUUUCAUCUGACCUCCUCCUUCCCCAGGAGGGAGUGUGACAAUGCAGUCAUUAUAAUGCAGAAUCGACAGUCCAAUUGGAGGAUGUGGAUUCUCAGUCUCACGUGCCUGCGGAAUACAGGGCUGCUGCCUGUGACAUCACUGCUGUCUUGUGCUUCCACUCGUGCACCCCAACCGCUUUAGAACAAUGGCUUCUUGAAAGAUUUUAUUACUGAAUAGGUAAUACUUUGAUAUCGUAUCCAAUUAAAAGAUGCAAAAGCACAAACACGAAGAUGUGGAGAAAUCGGAACCUUCGUGCCCUGUCGGUGGGACUGCAAAACGGGGUGCAGGCGCUGUGGAAAGCCGUAUGAUGAUUCCUCAAAAAAUUGAAAGGAGAACCACAAUAUGCUCCAGAAAUUCCACUUCUGGGGAUUAUACCCAAAGGAGCUGAAAACAGGCACUCAAACAGCUACCUGUACGCCAGUGUUCAGACAGCAUUAUUCACAACAGCCAAACAGUCCCAGUAGCUACCAGUAGACGAAUGGAUAAAUCGGUAAAAUUCCUACCGUGGAAUAGUAUUCAGCCAUAAAAAGUACCGCAUCCAUGCUUCCACGUGGAGGAGGCUUGAAGGUAUUAAGCCAAGUGAAAUGAGGCAGACCCAAAAGGACAACUAUUGUAUGAUUCCACUCACAUGGGAUACACGAAUAGGCAAAUAUAUCGAGACAGAGGUUCCAGGGGGAGGGGGCGGAGGAGGCGGAGUGAGGAGUUAUUGUUUAACAGGAUGAGGAAAAAGUCCUGGACACAGACGGUGGUGACAGUUGACCCCGUGAAUGUGCCUAAUGCCACCGAAUUGGAUAUUUUAAAAUGGUUAAAAAGGUAAGAUUUAAGUUAUGUGUAUUUUGUCACAGUACAAAAGAGUGUAUUUUUAAAGAGGACGCAACGAAAAGGAAGUCCCCCUCCUGCCGCAGUCCUUGCCAUACAACCCCCUCCUUGGAGACCCUCCUAAGACCAGGUUCUGACUCUCCUUCUAAAGACUGGAGUUACACAGACCUAACCCUCCCACAGAGAUACCCGUGGCAUUAAUCCCAGGCUGAGCCCUCUUUGGACCCCUCUGGGGACUGAAAAGAAGAGGAUCUGUAUCUCCUGGUGCAUCUGGACCACAGCCAUCCAAGGGACUCCAGUCUCCUUUUGUGUUUACUAGCUGUAAACCAAGGGCGAUCAUUUACCAUGGGAGCUGGGAACGUGACUCAGCUCAGGGUUGGGCAGCCCCAGGCUCUCUGACCAGCCAGCCCCUGGUGCCUGGCCCAUGAAGGCCUGAUCUCAGAGUUUGCAGCGUGCCCCCUGCCCAUCCUCAAAGAACAGAACUUCUUAGUCCCUCUGAGUUUCUGUUUUCUCCCCCAGUCUUUGAAAAGCUGUGGUGGGAACAGAACACUUCAUUCAAAGGAAGUCCUGAAAGGCCCUUUUGUGGUGCAUCCGGUCCAGGAACCAGCUCAGUGUUCUCUGAAGGAAAAAAGACUUGAACAAAAGCUGGCAUCCUAGGAACCCUGGAGGUCAGGCCCUCGUUAAUUAGCCACUGGCGUCCCUGCCUCAUUAGUAUUCAAACACAGGCAGAACACAGCUUCUGCCCCUCCAAGCUCUCCCUUGAACCUCCUCCAUGCAGAGAUUGAUGUUAGAGGUGGGAUUUUUUUUUUUUUCCCUCCAUCACUUGCAAGAUAUCCACAGAUAGGGGCUUUUUCUACCUCAGGACCUGGCUGAGGGGGGACAUGGCCAGGUUGUCAGUCAUUAUCUUGAUCACGCCCUUCGUGUAGACAGAGCCCCAGCUUUGGAAGCAAAUGGACCGAUGUUCAGAUUCCCCACUCUACCCCUUUCUGGCUGGAUGACCUUAGCAGAUGACCUCUCGGGGCUAGUGUUCUCCCUACAAUUAUGGGUUUACAAUAGUACCUAUUGUUCAAGGAAGGUGCUGGUGUCUUGGGACACAGAAAAUGUGCAGAAAGGGGAUUUGGAGAUCACAGAAGAACAGAAUGAGAAGGGAAUCAUUUGCCAGGCUUUUCCUUAGAGGAGAUCAACCCAAGGAAAUAACCACUGAGUUCUAAAAAAAAAAAAAAAAAAAAAAAAAUGCAAUCAAAUCCUAAUACUUCCUUUUGAGUUGAAAUUCAGAAACUUCUUAUUAUGCUAUUACCUUCAAGGUAAACAAUUAAAAAGUAAAAGAAAUAAAAAAGUAAAUCCUCGCCCUCGCUGCUAAGGCCCCAUGUGAGCAGGCCUCUGUCCACCUCCUUGUCUCCAAUCUACCACUCAACCUUGGACUGUGGGGUGUCGGCGGGGGCAGGGGCACGAGGGCAGGCCAUCCCGAGAUGGGCCACGUUGGCAUGAAGAUUACUUUGAGCUGAAGGCAAUCAAGACCCUAUGGGCUCAAUAGAAACUUUUGCCCCUCCUUUAACUACCCAGAAAAAUCUAAAUUGGGGGUGUUUUCCAGAACAAGGGUUAUUACCAGAGAUAAAUUUUAUCUGAGUCACCCAUCUGUAUGGCAGGGGCAACAUCUAAUUACCGAACAUCUGCUUUUCUUCUUAUCGCCCUUUGAAGUGCACUCCUUUGCCCUGAAGUCCCAGGCCCCUACCCACAUCUCUUCAGUUCAGGAUGACAAACGUACCUCAUUUUGCCUGACCGUUUUGGGAAUUCCCAUGUGUGUGUGGAUUCCCCAUCUGUACGUCAUUAAAUUUAAUUUCCUCCUA